This 527-nucleotide ribosomal RNA is filed under the name Bembras megacephala. RNAcentral describes it as "partial 16S ribosomal RNA". It matches the Rfam family "Bacterial large subunit ribosomal RNA", at positions 1851 to 2575 of the family's 2925-position model. The record is from RNAcentral. Lineage: Eukaryota; Metazoa; Chordata; Actinopteri; Perciformes; Bembridae.
GGUCCCGCCUGCCCUGUGACUUUUAGUUUAACGGCCGCGGUAUUUUGACCGUGCGAAGGUAGCGCAAUCACUUGUCUUUUAAAUGGAGACCUGUAUGAAUGGCAUAACGAGGGCUUGACUGUCUCCUCUUUCAAGUCAAUGAAAUUGAUCUCCCCGUGCAGAAGCGGGGAUGUAAACAUAAGACGAGAAGACCCUGUGGAGCUUUAGACGCCAAGGCAGAUCAUGUUAAAUAACCCCAAACACGGGGCCGAACCAGAUGAGCCCUGCCCUAGUGUCUUUGGUUGGGGCGACCGCGGGGAAACAAAAAACCCCCAUGUGGAAUGGGAACACCCCUCUCCUACAAUUAAGAGCCACAGCUCUAAGCAACAGAACUUCUGACCAGCAAGAUCCGGAAAUACCGAUCAACGAACCGAGUUACCCCAGGGAUAACAGCGCAAUCCCCUUUUAGAGCCCGUAUCAACAAGGGGGUUUACGACCUCGAUGUUGGAUCAGGACAUCCUAAUGGUGCAGCCGCUAUUAAGGGUUCG